This 837-nucleotide long non-coding RNA is filed under the name Pan troglodytes (chimpanzee). RNAcentral describes it as "lincRNA". The record is from RNAcentral. Lineage: Eukaryota; Metazoa; Chordata; Mammalia; Primates; Hominidae.
GGGCAGAGGAAGAACGGCACUUCUGACAUCAGAGGCUCCAGCUGAAAGGUUCCAAAUCUAGGAGCUGGAGUCCAUCACUCACAGGAAGAGAAGAUUAGGACACAGAGAUACCAGAGAGGUCGUUCACAGAGGAAAGACCAUGUGAAGACGCAGUGAGAAGGUGGCCAUAUUCAAGCUGAGGAGAGAGGCCUCAGAAGAAACCAAUACUGCCAACGCCUUGGUCUUGGACUUCCAGCCUCCAGAACUGUCCUGGAUCAGAAGAUGCCUGACAAGAGGCCACUAUCAGCAGCAACAGCACAGUGGGGACAAACCUGAGACCUUGAUGGACCGUGGACACCAGCAGGAGAGACAGAGGAACUUGAAGUCUAAAUGGGCAGACAAGACCAACAUACACAAAGCAGAGAGUGGCACAAGAGCCAUGUCUGAUGCAACAGUGACUCAGGAGGAUCACUCUGACUCAGAAUGGCCAAGCAAAGGUAUUGGGAGGAAGUGGGAUAGAACUGAGCUUUGAAGACCGUGCUAAAAUAUUUACAGACUCCCCAGGUUAUCUCAAGUUCUCUCCAGGAAUUAGCUUCACCUCUUUGUGCUUUGGCUCCACAUCAGUUAAAUAGUGAUAACGUUUGAUCGUUAAGAACCAUGUAGAGAUGAAACAAUUUUCAAAGUUUUUAAAUUAAGUGUACUCAUUGCCACUCAAAGAUAAAUACCAUAUAAAUAUAAUAAUCAUCAUAUUGAGAAACAAAAUAGUAAUGAUGCAGAUACUCAUGUACUGUUUCAUGUUUGUGGUCUUUGAGGGGAGUUUUUACUCAAAUAUCCCUAGAUGAAUAAAUACAUAUGGUC